Non-coding RNA from Theobroma cacao (cacao), 397 nucleotides. The record is from RefSeq and is a predicted model, not a curated record. Lineage: Eukaryota; Viridiplantae; Streptophyta; Magnoliopsida; Malvales; Malvaceae.
GUUAGUGACUUAGAGAAAUGUCUUGUGGCAGCAAAGAUUGGCUUGAUUGGAGAAAAAUUGGUAACAUGUAAGCCAAAAAACCCAUGGGUGCAUGAAGGACUCAAAGUGGAAAAGGAAAACGGAAGUGCAAAGAUAAGGUUAGAGAACUGUGGUGGCGUGCUGGAGUAAAUAACGAGUGACUAACCAGCGAAAAAUGUUAGAGACACCUUCGAACAAAUAGCGACUUAAUAUCUUGUUGUUGCCAGGUUUCUUGAGUUAAAGGUGUUUGUAUCCUAGGACGAGGUGCUCCUUCCUAUACAUUGCUCGGUAGGUUUAACGUGACACUAAGUGUUAUUAAUUGUGUCCAGAGUCACUCUGCUAACUAUCGAGGUCUAAUUAUGUGUAUAUGAAUAUUGAA